Molecule: long non-coding RNA, 6077 nt
Filed under: Musa acuminata (dwarf banana)
Lineage: Eukaryota; Viridiplantae; Streptophyta; Magnoliopsida; Zingiberales; Musaceae
Description: long non-coding RNA (MACU_LNC006183)
Source: RNAcentral
GACGUUCACCGUUCCUUGGUCCCCAAAUUGGAGAUGUGGGAAAGUCUCUUGGGAUCGAGAGAGCUCGUUCUCAAGCAUCUCAAGAAGACAACACGGUUUUUCCACUCCAGCGUUGAGAAGACAUUGCAUCCUAACCUAAAGUUCUUGAGGGAUGAGUGCGGCAUUCCUGAAGAAAGGGUCUCUGUCGUCUUGAGAAGUCGCCCACAUUUAUUCUCGCAGAAACCAGAGUCUCUCCGAGCUUUGGUGGUGAGAGCCGAUGAGCUGGGGAUACCACGGCAAUCUCGGAUGUUCAUGUGGACCCUUCAUGUUUUCCACAACGUAAGCAAAGAAAAGUUCGAGUCCAAGGGCGAGCUCAUGAGGAGCUUCGGGUGGUCGGAGUCGGAGUUUUCUUCUGCAGUCAUGAAAAAUCCCACCUUCUUAUGCAUCUCCCUCGAUAUGUUGCGCAGAAAAGUGGAAUUUUUUAUCAAUGUAGUCGGGUACACCCCUUCCUUCAUCGCCUCCCAUCCAAAUCUCUUGCUAUUGAGUAUGCAGAAGACGGUAAUUCCUCGGUUUCGUGUUUUGGAGAUGUUGAAUACGAAAGGCUUGUGGACUCGACGAGGCAAGUUUUUGUCCUAUGUGACAUUAUCAAAUACAAAAUUCAUGGAGAAGAUUGUUCUACCCUACAAAGAAAAGGUUCCUGAGCUUCUUGAUAUUUUGAGAGCAGGUGAGUGUGAAGGGAAAUGAGCCUUUUAUUUGGUAUCAGAGGAGGAUGAGAAGGGCUUAGCUGAUGGUCUAACUCACGUGUGAAUUUCUCAACAGGAGAUGAGCAGUGAUUCGGCACCUUUUUCCUUGACAACGAGCUGUCUUACAUCAACCACCAGCCUUGGCUACUGAGGUGCAGUCCAGUGAAAGAAUUAUUCCUUGGUGUCAUAUGGUAGUAAUGUUGUAAUUGGAAGGUCUAUGCAGUGGCCAACACAAAAUGUCUUCCAGUUUUACUCAUUAAGGUUCAUGGAAAAGUCUGUUCUUUUUUGCAAAGCAGUAAGCCCCUGGCCUGUUUGAAAUCUCUGAUUGAUGAAGGUAGAUUAUUCCCCUAGUUUGAGAUUUUGGAAAUAGAAUGCAAAUGGCUUCUCUAAAAUUCUAUUGAGGUGUGAGAUUCUUCUCAUGUGACAUGCUAGAUUGGCAUUGUUUUUGUCUUACUAAAUGUUUGCUUGAAUCAUUUUCUGAUUUUGUUUGGCACACUAUUGUUGGUUUGUAUGUGAAUUGCAGGUUUUAGAAAUUCUGCUCAGCAAUUCAACCGAGAUGAUUUUGGAUCUUAUGAACUUUUGGAUUAUGUGCAAAUUGAUUCCGAAUUGUCAUGGACAAAACUAUAAACGAGGUUUUGAUGUAAUGCUCAUAUAUGUCUGUGCAUUUUGGUUUUGUUCAUGCUUUGGAUAGCAUGUAAAGUGUUGACAAUAGGUUUAGUAGUCUCAUUUUCUUUGGUUUUGACGGCUAUCUUAGGCUUGCAAAUAAAGAUUGUGUCCUGUUGGCACUUUUGAGGAAUUCCGUUUGUAGUAGACCAUUUUGGACACUUUUGUUGUGCGAUCAUUCAAAGUUUUUAAGUCUGUCUGUAAUUUGCAUUGGCUAUAAAGUCAUUUGGAUCCCGAUUGUGAUAUUUUUUCUAACACAUUUUCUUUUUUGUAGGUUAUAAGGACCAUAGGAGGUUAUAAGUAGACCUUUUCGGAUGGAUGCGUAAGAGAGUUGCACGAUUUUGGUAAAACCAACUAAGUACGUGACAUAUGGUCUCAAAGCGGGAAAAUCACUUAUAAAAACACUUGGCAAACAAACGUGGGGAACCUAGCGGGGUUACGUUGAGAGUAGCCAGCAAGCAAGAUUGUUUGGGGGAAACUAACAUGGAGAUAUAGGAAAAAAGAAUCGCUCAGAAAAACGAAUAUCUGAGAUUGACAUUUAGAGAAAUAGCUAAUCCUUUGCUCAAGAGGCAUCACGAAGACAAGUAAGCUGGGAAGAAUGUGUAAUGCACAAAGGUUGGAAUGGCUGAGUUCGAGCUACGGCUCGAUAUUGGUAACCAUAAUAGUGUUCAAGGCAAGCGAGACGCUUGGUUAAGGAUGAGACAAUGCAAGAUGUAAUGAGUUAUUCAGCAACCGAAAGAGUUGUGAAAGGUUCACAAAGGUGAGGGGAAUUGUUAACUCGAAGAAUUCGGUACUAAGGGCUUGUAUGCGGACGAUGGAAUGUUCGUGGUCAUCCUAAGGCGAUCGAAACUCGGCACCAUGGAGCAUUGAAACUUUCUCAUCGGCAUGAGAAUGAUACAUCCGUAUAAGGUUGAAGUGUGCAACGAGUUCAAUAUGUUGCUAGGCCUUGGGGUGCAGUAGGGGUUGUAUUGAUGUGGAGUCACAAUCUAACAAGUGCGUUUGCGGGGGCAGAACAAUGCACAGUUUGUUCAGCAAGAUAGAGUAGUCUAAGAGGAUGGUGGUCUCUGAAACUUCCAGAGGGAAAGAUGCGAAGAGAGAAGUUGCUUCAUCGGGACAGAUACCUUGGAGGGAUUAGUCUCGGUUCUCUAGAGGGAGAAUUAUGUGCAACAGACCGUACAUAUUCAGGAGGAGUAUCUCAAAACAACAUCACAAAGCUUAACGGNNNNNNNNNNNNNNNNNNNNGGUGCCAAAGAUGAAGGGAGCUUCAAGGCACAUGCACCCUAUCUCGGAGAAGCAUUUGACAGAGGAACCAAGGCGACUCAACUUGCAGAAGCAAAGUUGGGUUCAUAAGGCUUUGGAAUGGAACAAGAGGACGCGGAGGUCGGUACUCUUGAAGAAUAUGCCACAAUACUGUCAUUCAAGUUGCCAUGAAGGAAGCGGUGCGUAGCGGAGAUUGUGUUGGUGGGGCAAAGGCCCAGGAUCUAGACAAUAGCGCAUUAUUUUCAACAAGGUCGGUGGACUUCAAGAGCUACUAGGCGACGGACUAUCCUAGAACGGUGCUUCAUUUGGGUGUGAUCAAAAAGCAGGUGGACGAAAGUUGAUUGCCAAAGAAGCGAACAUAAUCGAAGGUGGAAGAAGCCCUGCGAUGUGUUGGCAGAGGCCACACAAGAAGGGAUCACAAUCCGAGUUCAUCCUACAAUGAUCAGAAUGUAAUGGAGAUGCUACCAGGAGGCGACAUGGUGCAGCAGAUCGUGGUGGAAUAAUUCGUGACAAUGCGAUAUACACAAAACUAGUCCCGCGAGGGACUAGAUCAUACGAAGAUAUGAUUGGGAGCUCAACUUCGGUAAAUAAUACGAUGACAAGACAUCCUUGGUGUCUCAAGUUUAAGGACCAGAUACAACACUAGGACAAUUGAAUCACUGUUUGACAAUUAGAUAUAAUCAACAAUCCAACGUUUCAUGAGCGGAUCAAUUAGUGAACUCAUUCUCUAAUGAGCACCUGCGUUGUAUCCCUAGUGUCCCCACACGAGUAACUAUGAGACAUGUGGCCUCCGUUAUAUGGAUGGAUGUACAACAUCCUGGUCUAUUUGGUCAUCUCGAUGUCCCUCUCGAGUAACCUUUAACUCCAUCUCGAGUAACCUAUGACUGAGAUUAUUUAGGGUUUAUAUUUAAAAACGAAUCUGUCUCAUUAUCGUGAUCUUAUCACGAUCCAAUUUCUAUUGCAUAGAUCUAUAGACAUCACAAUACAUACAACAAAUAAUAUAAAGUGAAAAAAAUAUCAAAUAAAAAAUUAAUAAAAAAAUAUGUAUCAUGACACCCAUUCAAUCACACAUAUGAUUGGCUUGUAGGGUACCUAUGAUUAGCACGAAUGAGCACUCCCCCAAUAGUGAACGAAGAUGCUUCAUUCUAUAGGAUGAUUUUAUGUUCUCCGAAUAGGGAGAAAUCUAUUUCGCACUAGCAACAAUGGAUAGAGUGAUAUUCCUCAAAUGUCAAAGUAGGGAUACAUUUCUCCUAAUAGCGGAUGGAGGACAUCUAACAACCUACUAAUUCCUGAAAGAAAUCACCCUAUCUGCCCUUUUUAAGGAAACAAAAUCAUCUUAUAUUGAUAAUUUCCAUCGAGAUAAAAUAACAUAUUAAAACAUCUUAAUUUAUCUUUUAAAUAUUAUUAUUAUCAAAUAAUAUCAAUUAGUCUUUAAUUGAUUUGAAUCAUUAUUUAAUCGAUCUAAUUGAAUUAGAUUUAACUAUAACAUAAUUGAAUUAAUUUUUAAUUCUCAUUUAAUCGAUCCAAAAUCAUCUUGUACUAAUAUAAUUUAGAUUAGAUUAAGUUUAAUUUACGUUAAAUAGAUUUAAAUAAAUCAAAUCUAUUCAGAAUCACCUUCAAUCGAUUUAAAUUUAUCAAAUUAGAUUUGGCUUAAUUGAACAUAAAUAAAAUAAAAUAAAGGUAAUAAGUUAAACUUUAUAGUAAUAGGAUAGAUUAAGCUAACCGAUAUAUGCAUGACUAUGCAUGUACCUUAUCAUUAUGUUAGCUCGUAGCCUAUGGACUAAUCAUGUGCAUUGCCCAUGUUGGAUCGAAUUGAACUAGCAGCUAGGCUUAGCCUUUUGGUUGAGUCUAAUCUACGGGUUGUGGUUUAGCUUGUGGGCAGAGCCUAAGCUAAGAGCCUGAUUUACUAAGCAGAUUUCAACCUAAAUCUUAAUUAUUUUUUUAAUUUUAAAUUAUAGCAUCAUGAAAUUAUAAUCAAAACACUUAACUAUUACCAAUGAGUCAUUAAAACAUAAUAAAUAGUUAUAGAUUAAAAAUAUAUAAUUACGUUGAAGGGAAAUUAAUAUUUUUACUCAACUAUUAUACAAAUUUAAUCGAAAUUGAAUAUUACAACUAGUAUGGUGCAUGCAAAAUACAAAUUUUAAAAAUUAUUAUACUAUGAAUAAUUAUAAUAUAUUUUAAUCAAAAAAUAAAAAUUUAAGUACUUGAAUAAAUAGAGAAAAUAUUAGAAACUAUAUAUAGUAUGAAUAAUUAUAAUAUAUUUAAUCAAAAAAUAAAAUUUUAAACACUUAGAGAUAAAAUAAAAUAUUAAUUUUUUAAAAAAUAUAGAAGCGAAAGGAAACAUCUUAUUAAAUAAAAAGAGCCGAGCCCUUCAAGGUAAUAAAUUUUUUAAUUUUUAUAAUUCUUUAAUAUAUAUAUAUAAUUAAUAAAAAUAAUAUCACUAACUUAAAAUAUUGAGUAUUUAUUUUAUAAAUUUUAUUCAUAAGAAAAGAAAGUGAAUAAUUAUACUUAAAGAUUUGAGUAAAGAUGAAAUGGUCAAAUUAGUAUUUUAAGAUCAUUUUAUCCAUAUUUUUGAUAUAAAUAAUUUAUUCCUAUAAUUUUGUAUUUCUUGUGCAUAGUGAAGGUUAUACACACUACGGAUAAGGAGGGUUGUUGUAAUUAGGGUGCCGCUGUGGCUGCUCUCGUCCCACAAUGGUUGCUGCGACGCUCCGCUCCAUACUCCGUCGUAAUAGUCUUCUGCCCUUGUUCGAAACCUGUCGCCUUCGAGAUCUCCUCUUCUUCUCCUCCUAUGUCGACAUUGCUUUCGCCGUAUGCGGCACCACAUCUCCUGAUCCCCACUUCGUGAUGGAAUACCUCGUGAACUCCUGCGGAUUCUCCCCCUCCGAGGUAGCCAAGUUCUCUAAACCCAUUACUUACCUCCGAUCCACCGAUAAACCCGACGUCGUCCUUAACUUCAUGAGAUCUCAGUGCUUCAAUGGUGUCGGUAUCAGGAAGCUGAUAUCUUGGAAAGCCAGUUACCUAUGCAUGAAUGUGGAGAAGAACUUGGCCCCGAAGUUUCUUUUCUUACUCGAUUUGGGCCUAUUGGAGUCGGAUAUCGUCGAUGUCAUCUUGAAGAACCAUGUCAUCCUCCUCCUCAACGUUCACCAUUCCUUCGUUGCCAAAUUAGAGAUGUGGGAAAGUCUCUUGGGAUCGAGAGAGCUCGUUCUCAAGCAUCUCAAGAAGACAGGAUGGUUUUUCUUCUUCAGCUUUGAGAAGACAUUGCAUCCUAACCUAAAGUUCUUGAGGGAUGAGUGCGGCAUUCCUGAAAAAAGGGCCUCUCUCGUCUUGAGAAGUCACCCACAAUUAAUCUCACAGAAACCAGAGUCACUACGAGCUUUGGUGGCGAGAGCCGAUGAGCUGGGGAUGCCAUGGCUAUCUCGGAUGUUUGUGCGG